AACAUGCUUCCUUAGAUCCACCUUUGUGGAUGAAUCUUGAUCUGAGUUCUACUUGUGAACUUCUGUUUCUUGUAGUUCCAGUCAAAGAAACAUCCAGCAACUUUUUGGUUGUACAGUCAAAGGUGCUUGAGUCAUUGGCAUGUGAGAUGAAUAUACCUGCAUGUUAGUCUAACGUUCUGAUAGAAAUGACAUGCUGUCAUCCUCUACUCUCAGGACUCGACUGGUGUGCGGACAUU
Molecule: small nucleolar RNA, 236 nt
Organism: Dipodomys ordii (Ord's kangaroo rat)
Lineage: Eukaryota; Metazoa; Chordata; Mammalia; Rodentia; Heteromyidae
Product: predicted gene, 24119
Source: Ensembl